UACAGGGGGUGCAAACGUUGCUCGGAAUCAUUGGGCGUAAAGCGCACGUAGGCGGUUCGUUAUGUCGGAUGUGAAAGCCCUUGGCUUAACCGAGGAAGUGCAUCCGAAACUGGCGAGCUAGAGUACGAAAGAGGAUCGCGGAAUUCCCGGUGUAGAGGUGAAAUUCGUAGAUAUCGGGAGGAACACCGGUGGCGAAGGCGGCGAUCUGGGGCGAUACUGACGCUGAGGUGCGAAAGCGUGGGGAGCAAACAGG
This 253-nucleotide ribosomal RNA is filed under the name uncultured bacterium. RNAcentral describes it as "partial 16S ribosomal RNA". It matches the Rfam family "Bacterial small subunit ribosomal RNA", at positions 524 to 776 of the family's 1533-position model. The record is from RNAcentral.